UCUGGUUGAUCCUGCCGGAGGCUACCGCUAUUGGAGUUCGAUUAAGCCAUGCGAGUCGCGAGAAAUUAGAUUCUCGGCGUACCGCUCAGUAACACGUGGGUAACCUGCCCUAUGCUGGAUAAUAACCUCGGGAAACUGAGAAUAAUGAUCCAUAGUUCACUACGCCUGGAACGGUGAGUGGAUGAAAGCUCCGGCGGCAUAGGAUGGGCCUGCGGCGUAUCAGGUUGUAGGGGGUGUAACGUACCCUCUAGCCCUCUACGCGUACGGGUGUUGGGAGACAUAGCCCGGAGAUGGAUUCUGAGACACGAAUCCAGACCCUACGGGGUGCAGCAGGCGCGAAAACUUGGCAAUGCGAGAAAUCGUGACCAGGGAACUCCAAGUGCAUCGGGUAAGACCGGUGCUUUUCUUGACUCUAAAAAGGUCUUGGAAUAAGGGGUGGGUAAGGACGGUGCCAGCCGCCGCGGUAAUACCGGCGCCUCAAGUGGUAGUCGCUUUUAUUGGGCCUAAAACGUCCGUAGCCGGUCUGAUACAUUCGUGGGUAAAUCAACCAGCUCAACUGGUUGAAUUCUGCGAGGACGGUCAGACUUGGGACCGGGAGAGGUGUGGGGUACGCUCAGGGUAGGGGUAAAAUCCUGUCAUCCUGAGCGGACCACCUGUUGCGAAGGCGCCACACUAGAACGGAUCCGACGGUCAGGGACGAAGCCUAGGGGCACGAACCGGAUUAGAUACCCGGGUAGUCCUAGGUGUAAACGCUGUGGACUUGAUGUUGGGGGUGCUCCGAGCACUCUCAGUGUCGAAGCGAAGGUGAUAAGUCCACUGCCUGGGAAGUACGGUCGCAAGGCUGAAACUUAAAGGAAUUGGCGGGGGAGCACCGCAACCUGAGGAUUGUGCGGUUUAAUUGGACUCAACGCCGGGA
RNAcentral lists this ribosomal RNA (916 nucleotides) under uncultured Candidatus Poseidoniales archaeon. Its description in RNAcentral is "SSU rRNA". It matches the Rfam family "Archaeal small subunit ribosomal RNA", at positions 1 to 923 of the family's 1478-position model. Lineage: Archaea; Methanobacteriati; Thermoplasmatota; Candidatus Poseidoniia; Candidatus Poseidoniales. The record is from RNAcentral.